UACGUAGGGUGCAAGCGUUGUCCGGAAUUAUUGGGCGUAAAGAGCUCGUAGGCGGUCUGUCACGUCGGCUGUGAAAACCCGGGGCUCAACCCCGGGCCUGCAGUCGAUACGGGCAGACUAGAGUGCGGUAGGGGAGACUGGAAUUCCUGGUGUAGCGGCGAAAUGCGCAGAUAUCAGGAGGAACACCGAUGGCGAAGGCAGGUCUCUGGGCCACUACUGACGCUGAGAAGCGAAAGCAUGGGGAGCGAACAGG
RNAcentral lists this ribosomal RNA (253 nucleotides) under uncultured bacterium. RNAcentral's name for it is "partial 16S ribosomal RNA". It matches the Rfam family "Bacterial small subunit ribosomal RNA", at positions 524 to 776 of the family's 1533-position model. The record is from RNAcentral.